GAGGUCUCAAGCGUUGUUCGGAUUCAUUGGGCGUAAAGGGUGCGUAGGCGGCGCGGUAAGUCGGGUGUGAAAUCUCGGAGCUUAACUCCGAAACUGCAUUCGAUACUGCCGUGCUUGAGGACUGGAGAGGAGACUGGAAUUUACGGUGUAGCGGUGAAAUGCGUAGAUAUCGUAAGGAAGACCAGUGGCGAAGGCGGGUCUCUGGACAGUUCCUGACGCUGAGGCACGAAGGUCAGGGGAGCAAACGGGAUUAGAUACCCCGGUAGUCCUGACAGUAAACGGUGCACGUUUGGUGUGGGAGGAUUCGACCCCUUCUGCGCCGGAGCUAACGCGUUAAACGUGCCGCCUGGGGAGUACGGUCGCAAGAUUAAAACUCAAAGAAAUUGACGGGGGCCCGCACAAGCGGUGGAGUAUGUGGCUCAAUUCGAUGCAACGCGAAGAACCUUACCUGGCCUUGACAUGCAUCUCUAAGCGCGUGAAAGCGCGUGAGUCCCGAAAGGGACAAUUUGCACAGGUGCUGCAUGGCUGUCGUCAGCUCGUGUCGUGAGAUGUUGGGUUAAGUCCCGCAACGAGCGCAACCCCUGUGAACUGUUGCCACCGAGCCGUGAGGCUCGAGCACUCUGUUCAGACUGCCCCGCUCUAACGGGGAGGAAGGUGGGGACGACGUCAAGUCAGUAUGGCCCUUACGGCCAGGGCUGCACACGUACUACAAUGCCCAGUACAGAAGGAUCCUAGACCGCGAGGUGGAGGAAAUCACUAAAACUGG
RNAcentral lists this ribosomal RNA (766 nucleotides) under uncultured Spartobacteria bacterium. Its description in RNAcentral is "bacterial SSU rRNA". It matches the Rfam family "Bacterial small subunit ribosomal RNA", at positions 528 to 1285 of the family's 1533-position model. The record is from RNAcentral. Lineage: Bacteria; Pseudomonadati; Verrucomicrobiota; Spartobacteria.